This 24-nucleotide non-coding RNA is filed under the name Arabidopsis thaliana (thale cress). The record is from RNAcentral. Lineage: Eukaryota; Viridiplantae; Streptophyta; Magnoliopsida; Brassicales; Brassicaceae.
GGAGAACACAUGAGCAUCGUGCUG